Molecule: transfer RNA, 73 nt
Filed under: Thermoproteota archaeon
Lineage: Archaea; Thermoproteati; Thermoproteota
Also listed under: 1 other name
Description: tRNA-Asn
Rfam family: tRNA
About the family: Transfer RNA (tRNA) molecules are approximately 80 nucleotides in length. Their secondary structure includes four short double-helical elements and three loops (D, anti-codon, and T loops).
Source: RNAcentral
GCCGACGUAGCUCAGUCGGUAGAGCAGCGGGCUGUUAACCCGUUGGUCGGAGGUUCGAGUCCUCCCGUCGGCG